UCUAGUUUUGUGCUUGUUUUUUUCUAAUCAAAACAUACACAAUUUUAUUUUUUUGUUACUUCAGAUAUUGCGUUCCAUGAUUCGAUAGUGCUUAAAAUUUCGGGCAAUAAAGUGCAUAUCGCUCGGUGACGCACAAAUCAAACAAAGCAAUUUUUUGUUUGACUGAAAAAAAAAACACACACACAUACACGCAAAAAGCAAAGUCAACGCGACUUGGCCAAAAUCAAAGCAGAGCGAGCACACACACAUUAUGUUCAAUAGAUAUGGGCGGAUUCCUGGAUAAGCCGAAAACCGCAAAGCACAAUGAUAAGGGCGAGGGCAACAAGCUGCUCUUCGGCGUCAGCUCCAUGCAGGGAUGGCGUUGCGAAAUGGAGGAUGCCUACUAUGCUCGGGCCCGUCUAGGCAAUGCACUGGAGGAAUGGAGUUUCUUUGCUGUGUUCGAUGGACACGCGGGCUGCAAGGUGUCCGAGCAUUGUGCCAAUCAUUUGCUGGACAGCAUCAUCAGCACAGAGGAAUUCAAGAGCGGUGAUUAUGUGAAGGGCAUUCGCACUGGUUUCCUACGCAUCGAUGAAGUAAUGCGAGAGCUGCCCGAAUUUACGCAGGACGAGGAGAAAUGCGGUGGCACCACUGCCGUUAGCGCCUUCAUCAGCUCCACGCAAGUCUACAUUGCCAAUUGCGGCGAUUCGCGAGCUGUGCUCUGUCGCCAGGGGGUGCCGGUGUUUGCCACCCAGGAUCAUAAGCCCAUUUUGCCCGAGGAGAAGGAGCGUAUACAUAAUGCUGGCGGCAGUGUGAUGGUGCAGCGUGUUAAUGGAAUGCUCGCGGUGUCACGCGCUCUCGGCGACUAUGACUUUAAGAAUGUUAAGGAGAUGGGUCAGUGCGAGCAGUUGGUCUCACCGGAACCGGAAAUCUUUUGCCAAAGCCGUCAGGACACCGACGAGUUCCUAGUGCUCGCCUGUGACGGCAUCUGGGAUGUGAUGAGCAAUGAGGAUGUAUGCAGUUUCAUAUACUCGAGGCUGAAAGUGACCUCUGAUCUGGUGAAUAUUGCCAAUCAGGUCGUCGACACCUGUUUGCACAAGGGUAGCCGUGAUAAUAUGAGCAUCAUAAUAAUUGCUUUUCCCGGAGCACCGAAGCCAACUGAAGAGGCGAAAGAGGCUGAGCGACGUCUGGAGAAGCACAUCGAGAAGAUCACAAGAGAGGAGAUUGAGAGUAAUGAUGUCACGGACUACGUUGAACUGUUAAAGUGUCUGGAAAUCAGAGACGACAUUGAAGGUCUUCCACCCGGCGGCGGUUUGCACUCCAAAUAUCACAUUAUCAAGCGAAUAUUCACGGAGUUGUUUCCGGAUGAUCCAUGUGAACUAUAUGGAAAUAUUGAUCUAUGAAUUUUUUAAUCCAAACUAUUGUUCAUUUUAAAAUCAACCUAAACAUGCAAAACAACCAAACAAAACAAUCAAGCAACAUGAGAACAAACGAAACUAAACAAACAACCCUUUAAACACACAAAUUUAUAUUUUAAAUAGUCCAACGCAUUAAAAAUGAAAACAAACAAACAGAAACAGUCAAACAAAUGCAACAAUAACAACAACAGUACGUUACAGCAACUCACAAACAACACAUACACACACACAUACCGAACACACACACACACAACAAAACAAAUAAUACAAACACUAUUACCAAACCGUUUUCUACUUUGAUAAAAAAAAAGAAAAGAAGAAUGAAAGAAAAAACCUACUGCUAAAAAUAUUAAUAAGCAUUAUUAUAAUACUACAUUAUAUACAUAGUUUAAAUGAAAGCCAGUCCUAAACACACAACUACAUAAACCUUGUAUUACGUAGAUUAUACUUAUAGAAAGGAGCGAACCUUAGCAGACCUCAGAGCUGAAGAAACAUAAAAAAAACUAAAACUAAAAACGAAAACAAGAUAAAACUAAAAGAACAGGGUUUGGCUCAAAGCCAACAGACACACACACAUACACACAUUGUACACACACUGACACACACACACACAUACAACACAUCUGAAACAUCAGAAGAACUUCCCCCAUCUCUAAAACUAACCAACUACCUAACGAACUACAAUACUUACUAGAGUUAGAGAUUGGUUAUAGAUAGAUAGUAUGUCUUACUUCUGUGUUAGGUCGGUCUGUCGUCUGUCUAUCAAUCUGUCUAUCGUAACUGUCCUUCCGUCAAUCAAUCCUCAUCAAUCAAAUUUAAACUGUUGACUCGCCUUUGUUUAGCUGUGUAAAGUUUUACCAAAAAAGUAAAGAAACAAAUGAAAAAUUAAAAACAAAAAAAAAAUACAAACAAACAAACAAUAUAAAAACGUAAACACUUUUAGCCCUGUCUAAGAAUGUCGCUCGGGUGAUGUCUGUAAAAGUAAUGAUUUUUUUAUUUGAUUAACGAACAGUGUAUUAAUAUUGAUUCCGCCAUGAAGAGGAAUUUUCUAAGCUGUAUAAUGUUUGUUACUGAAGAAUCAUUUUUGUUCAUUAUUUUUAUAUAUUGUAUGUAUAUGAGAUAUCCGAUUUAAACAAAACAAAAA
Drosophila albomicans is the source of this 2538-nucleotide RNA transcript. It is a transcript of the gene named protein phosphatase 1B, with no coding region annotated. Lineage: Eukaryota; Metazoa; Arthropoda; Insecta; Diptera; Drosophilidae. The transcript has 7 exons. The record is from RefSeq and is a predicted model, not a curated record.